Molecule: long non-coding RNA, 210 nt
Filed under: Lathyrus oleraceus (garden pea)
Lineage: Eukaryota; Viridiplantae; Streptophyta; Magnoliopsida; Fabales; Fabaceae
Description: Pisum sativum (pea) long non-coding RNA (PSAT_LNC041755)
Source: RNAcentral
UGUUUUCUUGAACCUUGAUCAUUAAAGCAUUAAUCCAAUAUUUCUUACACUUCCAUACACAAGAUAAUACAAACCAUGUUCAUUUCAAAAGCCAAAAUUAUAUUACAUAAAUUAUUAUAACCAAAACACAUAAACCUUGUCCAUUCUCAUUACACCCAGAAACCAACACACAUGUUGACAUACACAAUUCAAUGACCAAAGUACAUAACC